UGAAUUUGGGACGAGUUUUGUGGUGGUGUUGAAGGGAGGUGGUGGUUGAUGGGAAUUUGGUGCUAUCCUACCUGAGCUUUUUCUUCGUAUUUCUAUAUUCGUUCCUACCGUAUUCUUUCAUCUUCUACUACUUAUCGAUCCCUUCCCUU
Molecule: non-coding RNA, 149 nt
Organism: Malus domestica (apple)
Lineage: Eukaryota; Viridiplantae; Streptophyta; Magnoliopsida; Rosales; Rosaceae
Source: RefSeq, marked provisional